GAGUUGAUGGAAGAAGAUACUUUCUGUUUUGGAUAAAAGGAGCUGUAACACCAGCUGCUCAGCCUCCUUAUUCCACGCCCCACCCUCACCCCCAGACCGUUUUGGGGAAAAUCAAAACCUAAACUCUUGUUCUGGGACAGAUCCUGGGUUUCGUUUGAUUGAUUUUCAUUUCGAAAAGUGUUGCACUUGGCCUUUUAAAAAAAUAUGCCCUGGGAUUGUUUCACCAGUCACAUGACAGAAUUUAAACACCAAAUUCCUUCUCAGAGUGCCUGCUACGGGGCUGUGUUUCUGGUCUGUGGUUCAUCAGAAGAGACCGGUGCUGAUGGACCCCCAGGAUCUGAUGUCGCGAUUCCCCACUGAGAGACUUCUCUUUUCCUUGUGUUUUAUGCAACCAGCAGUCUUUCCCCUUGUCCUCUGCCAUUCAAGCUAUUGACCUAAAGAAAGGAAAGGUUUUAGCACUUUUGGUUUAAAAGCCACUUGGAGAAACCUGGUGGGAUGGAUCAGAAGCUUCUAGUACCGACCCUUGUUGGUCGGAGAGUCUGCACCGGACUUUCUGUCUGAGCUGAGCCGCGGAUGCGAGUCCCCCUGGAAAAGAAGCAGCAGAGGUGGCCCACGUGGGAGACAGAAACAUACGUGUUUGGCUCAGACUUCAGGAGACGGUUUGCUUAGCAUAAGCGAUGUGAUUUCUUUGUCUGGCAACCUCAUUAUUGUUUUCUAGCACUAACCUGGGAUGUCAUGCUUGAGUAGGGUAACCCUUUGCCCUCCCCAUCAUCACCUUGCCUGCCUCUUCCUGGCCAGGUCAGUUGUCCCUAUUCUGACACCAAACCCGUUACAUCAGUGCUUUGAAGAAUGGUUGCUCCUGACCGGGGAGCUUAGUUUACAGCAGCCGGGAACGCCAGCACUGUGUGUGGUGACAUCGUACCCAAAGAUCGUCUUCAGUUGCCUGGAAGGUGUCACCUGGUAUGCCAAGGAGCUGUAAUAUCACCUGGUUCUUUAAGAAGUUGGUUGGGCUGCACUCCUUGCGCCUGGUGUGUAAGGGAAUAUGGCAGAUGGGCCACCAGCCACAGUGCGGUCCAGGCUGGAAUCAUUUUCUGUAAGCAGGUGAGUGGCGAGGACCUGGGAGGGAGGCAGGUGCUCCCGCCCUUUGGAUUCCAGACCUGUCUAUCAGUGCAUCUUAAUCCCCGAAGUGCUUUGAGGCUGGUGGGUAAUAAAAUGACUCCCUCCUCCUCCCA
This is a long non-coding RNA of Ursus maritimus (polar bear), 1232 nucleotides long. The record is from Ensembl. NCBI's taxonomy places the organism in Eukaryota, Metazoa, Chordata, Mammalia, Carnivora, Ursidae.